Long non-coding RNA from Homo sapiens (human), 1947 nucleotides. RefSeq lists it as uncharacterized. NCBI's taxonomy places the organism in Eukaryota, Metazoa, Chordata, Mammalia, Primates, Hominidae. The record is from RefSeq and is a predicted model, not a curated record. The transcript has 3 exons.
AGAAAGAAGAAAGAAAGAGAGAGAAGGAAGGAAGGAAGGAAAGGAGAGACCAUUUACUGAGCAUCCAACAUAUACUAGGGCAUGGGGACUCAAAAAUGAUAAAUAAAUUGUCCAUGCCUUUAACAAACUCAGUAAAUAAAUGUUAUGAUCUGAAUGUUUGUGACCCCCCUUCCCAAAUUUAUAUGUUAAAACCAUUAGGUAGUAGUAUAUGUCAAUACCAAUGUGGUGGUAUUAAGAAGUGGGGCCUCUAGGAGGUGAUUAGAUAAUGAGGGUUCUGCCCUCAUGAAUGGGAUUAGUGCCCUUAUAAAAGAGGCCAAAAGGAGCUUGUUUGUCCUUCCCAACGUGAAGACACAGCUAGAAGGCGCCAGCUCUGAGGAACAAGCCCUCACCAGACAGCAAAUCUACCAGCACCCUGAUGUUGGACUUCUCGGCCUCCAGAACUGUGUUGGUCCCCAAGGUGCUCCUUAAUAGGCAUCCUGCGCCUUAAACACUGCCUCAGAGUCUGCUUCCCAGGAAGUCCAAACAGAUUGAGAAUCUGAGGAUGAAGAAUGAAGCUCGGAGCCUUGCAGCGGGAAGAACUUUAUCUGAACAAGAGGCAGAAUUUCCCAGUGGUCCCCUCUUUCUGGAAGCCUUGUCCCUGGUGGGCAGGGGAAGAAGGACAGUGGGGAGAUCAAACUGUCACUUUUACAGUGCUAGGGCCCAGGUUAAUUACUGACCCCCCUCUCUGAGCCCUAGGGCUCUGCCCUAACCUGGAUCCCCUGAGGAUCCCAAGAGAGUUCUUUGUGGAGAGGAUGAGGCCAGGUAUCUGGCCCUUUCAGAAGAAGAGGGGGCACUCGCUAUGCUUGAACUAUGGCUUAAGAAGCCCUCAAGCACCCCAUCACUCCCUUUUUCCCCAUCAACAACAUGGGAUCACCACACCCUAGACUUCACUGGGCUGCCUCAGGGCAAGAAGCAACCAACUAAUUUUAUGGAGAAUCUUGGGAGAGGGCAUGGCCAGGAGCCCUUGGUGAGUCCGCAUGGCUGCCAGGAAAGGAUUUUUUUUUUUUUUAAUUGUUCUGCCAGAUGGCGGACGUGCUAUCAAACUGGAACAAUUUCAUGUUAAUAUCUUGACUUGGAGUUUCUGACCACUCAGAUUGUAUAAAUUAAACCUCAAAGCUGUGUAUGGGCAGAAUCUGAAUUCUUUUCUACCCAGAGGCCAGGGGAAACAGACAACUUUGCUUGACAUUUCCCUUUGCCUGAGCAUCUUUUUUCUGGCAGCAUAGCCUUUUGAGGGCCCUAGCCAUUAUGCAGAGCCUUGAUUCUGCCUCCCCACCUUGCAUAGGCCAAGGCCUUGCCUAUUGUACUAGCAUGUCAGAAACCCAAACCUCUUGAUCGCCAAGAUCACCAAAUACCCUCAAACAGGAUUGGGGACUAGUAUAAGCAUCAUCUCACCACUUCUGGUGUAUGAGAGUUUCUUCUGUUUCCUUUGAGCUCAAUAUUUUAAAGACUAUGUAUUAUAUUUAAUUCAUCAUUUCUAGGUGUUUUGUAUUGAGAGGUUUUUCAGGGUAUCUAGUUUGUUAUGAUGACAAAACUAACAGUCCACAAGCUAUUACUUUCCUCCCACCAAAAUCAUCAAUGAGUAAUAGCCACUUUUCAGUCAUUCUCCAAGUCGGAGCCAAUUUCUUCAUAGUUAGGACAGGUAUACUAUCCAAUUAAUAGACAAACAUACCCUGCAGAGAAAUCUUCCUCAUAUCUGAAACGUUCCUGCCAAAUCCUUUCACUUUAUCAGGUUCUAAGAGUUCCUGGAUUACUCAAAAAGUUUAUCAAUGUGAGCUUCCUGUGAGACAUUCUAGGAAGUUUAAUUGGGAACAGAAAAAUAUGGAGCCAUUUGAAAUGAUCCAAGUGGGACUCAGGUGGGUUCCAUAGUGUUUGCGUGUUAGAACACACUUGAUUAAAGCUUCUACUCCA